AGUGAACGCUGGCGGUAGGCCUAACACAUGCAAGUCGAACGGCAGCACAGUAAGAGCUUGCUCUUACGGGUGGCGAGUGGCGGACGGGUGAGGAAUACAUCGGAAUCUACUUUUUCGUGGGGGAUAACGUAGGGAAACUUACGCUAAUACCGCAUGCGACCUACGGGUGAAAGCAGGGGAUCUUCGGACCUUGCGCGAUUGAAUGAGCCGAUGUCGGAUUAGCUAGUUGGCGGGGUAAAGGCCCACCAAGGCGACGAUCCGUAGCUGGUCUGAGAGGAUGAUCAGCCACACUGGAACUGAGACACGGUCCAGACUCCUACGGGAGGCAGCAGUGGGGAAUAUUGGACAAUGGGCGGAAGCCUGAUCCAGCCAUACCGCGUGGGUGAAGAAGGCCUUCGGGUUGUAAAGCCCUUUUGUUGGGAAAGAAAAGCAGCAGGUUAAUACCCCGCUGUUCUGACGGUACUCAAAGAAUAAGCACCGGCUAACUUCGUG
Molecule: ribosomal RNA, 492 nt
Filed under: uncultured bacterium
Lineage: Bacteria
Description: partial 16S ribosomal RNA
Rfam family: Bacterial small subunit ribosomal RNA
Source: RNAcentral